UACGGAGGGUGCAAGCGUUAUCCGGAUUCACUGGGUUUAAAGGGUGCGUAGGUGGAAUGGUAAGUCAGUGGUGAAAUCUCCAAGCUUAACUUGGAAACUGCCGUUGAUACUAUCAUUCUUGAAUAUCGUGGAGGUGAGCGGAAUAUGUCAUGUAGCGGUGAAAUGCUUAGAUAUGACAUAGAACACCGAUUGCGAAGGCAGCUCACUACACGAUCAUUGACACUGAGGCACGAAAGCGUGGGGAGCAAACAGG
Molecule: ribosomal RNA, 253 nt
Filed under: uncultured bacterium
Lineage: Bacteria
Description: partial 16S ribosomal RNA
Rfam family: Bacterial small subunit ribosomal RNA
Source: RNAcentral